Molecule: long non-coding RNA, 1139 nt
Filed under: Capra hircus (goat)
Lineage: Eukaryota; Metazoa; Chordata; Mammalia; Artiodactyla; Bovidae
Description: lncRNA (ENSCHIG00010027015.1)
Source: RNAcentral
GCUCAGCUUUCUUUAUAGUCCAACUCUCGCAUCCAUACAUGACCACUGGAUCUCUUAGACCCACUCUAACCUCCAAAGAGCUCAGUUUCCUUGUCCUUGAUCACCUCCUAUGCCUGCUCCCUUCUCUCUGCAAUCUUUCCCCAAGAGCCCUCUGGAACUUCAUUCAUGAUAAACUCUCUCUUGCCCAUAACCACGUCACAGUGGGUCUCCCCUUCACCUCUUCGGGCUAAACGAGUCCCAGCUCAUCAAUGCAAGGCCACCACUCCUCCCCUGUCACUUUUCCAAGGCGAUGCCAUUCAUCCGGACUGGACCCAAGAGCGGGAGGAGAACCACACUGUCAGCUCCCAGUGACAGCUCACCCACUCAUGCUGAUGCGGAACUAGCCUGUAUACUGUCCUCUGUCAAUGUCAGAUGCCAACCCGCAUCAUCCUUCGCCCUCAUUCAAGGAGCCUUUGGCACCUGGCUCAAUCUUCCUGUCCACCCCUAGUCCUGCCAUUGUCCUGAGUAGCUUCAAUCUUAGUUCUUUGCUCUCAAGAGAAUCCGCUCCACAGCACUUAGGCCGCCCUUCCCGUGGCCACCCCUGGACCUUGCCAUCACCCUGAACUGUUCUGCCUAUGACAUCUUAAAUCCGAUAGCUUACUGUGAUCAAAAGACACCAUUUUUCACUCCAGCCAUCAUCAUCACAUCUGUAUUUUAUUUCAGCAAGACCUUCUGUAUCUUGACUCCUCUGCUGUCUCCUUCUCUAUCAACCCCCACCUGGUUUUACUUCCUCCCUGUCAAAUCCCUCCCUUCCCAGUUUCCCUAGCAAACCCAGACUCCAUGACACAUCACAUCACUGUUUUACAGACAUCCUCACUCUCCUCUCUUGGCUUUAGGAACACUUAAGUUCCCUCCCUUAAUUUCAAUAUGUCUUUCUCCUUUCCCUUAAGUGUCAGUUUUCUUGAAUGCCUAUUGGAUUCUUCCCACUCUCCCCUGAUAAUCUCAUGUACACUGCUUGCCUAUUUCUGGCAAUUAAUUUUUUUGUCUAAGAUUCCAAGUCAUUUGCUUUGCAGUUUCUUUUCACAAGGAGACUAUACAAAAUUGGCCUGUAUGCAGGUCAAGAAGCAACAGUUAGAACCCAACAUGGAACAACAGACUGG